AGUUACCUGGGAUGUUCGAUACCCCGUAUAUUUUUGAACCUACAGUAUGAUGAACGGGAUUCCUAUAUCUUUAAGUGGAUGUCAGGCCUCCGAAUGCGCAGUGGAAGGCAGAAGCUUAUUUGCGGUUACCCACCUGGCGAAUAGCUAGGCGUCAAAAAAGGGGCCGGCAUUCUGGGGCUACA
Molecule: non-coding RNA, 182 nt
Filed under: Lachnospiraceae bacterium
Lineage: Bacteria; Bacillati; Bacillota; Clostridia; Lachnospirales; Lachnospiraceae
Description: 6S RNA
Rfam family: 6S / SsrS RNA
About the family: E. coli 6S RNA was the first non coding RNA to be sequenced, but its function was unknown until recently. It consists of 184 nucleotides that fold into an extended hairpin structure with a large single-stranded internal bulge. The 6S RNA specifically associates with RNA polymerase holoenzyme containing the sigma70 specificity factor.
Source: RNAcentral